GGAUGAGCUUGACGUUUCGCUCCCCCCACAGAGGAAAAAGCGGAAAAAGGAAAUUCUUCUGGAAAACAUGCUUUGACAAGUCUCAAGGGGGCGACAGUGAGGACGACUCUGAGUCCAGCUCUGAUUCGUCAGAGAGUUCUGAUUCAUCGCCGGACAGAAAGAGGAAGAUAAGGGGAAAGGGAAGAGAAAAAAGAGUGGGAAGAAGAGAACGAAUAAGAAAGAGAAAAAGGCGAAGAAAAGAAAACAUCGCUCUCACCAGCGGGUUGGAGGACCAGGUGAUGUGGUGAAGAGGUACAAGGAAGUCCUUGCCAUUUUCCAGACAGGGAAGAAUAUGGCCAAAUCCUUUGAGAAGUAUGGAGUAGACAGACUUACUAUUGUGAAGACUGCAGCGAUUGCCGAGCUCGCAAUACUGCUCCAGAAGAAUAUGAUCAGGUGGAGAAGCGCCGGACGGUGGCAGACUUUGCUAAAAGGUGCGAGGAGGUUAUAAAGGCUAACCAAGUCAUUUCUGCUACAAU
This 515-nucleotide long non-coding RNA is filed under the name Sparus aurata (gilthead seabream). RNAcentral's name for it is "lncRNA (ENSSAUG00010004600.1)". Lineage: Eukaryota; Metazoa; Chordata; Actinopteri; Spariformes; Sparidae. The record is from RNAcentral.